Molecule: transfer RNA, 85 nt
Filed under: Felis catus (domestic cat)
Lineage: Eukaryota; Metazoa; Chordata; Mammalia; Carnivora; Felidae
Also listed under: 3 other names
Rfam family: tRNA
About the family: Transfer RNA (tRNA) molecules are approximately 80 nucleotides in length.
Source: Rfam by way of RNAcentral
GCCUGGGUGGCCCAGUUGGUUGAGCAUCCGACUUUAGCUCGGGUCAUGAUCUCAUGGUUUGUGAGUUCAAGCCCCACAUCGGGCU